GGCUCAGAACGAACGCUUGGCGGCAGGCCUAACACAUGCAAGUCGAGCGAGACCUUCGGGUCUAGCGGCGGACGGGUUAGUAACGCGUGGGAAUAUACCCUUCACUACGGAAUAGCCUCGGGAAACUGGGAGUAAUACCGUAUACGCCCUUCGGGGGAAAGAUUUAUCGGUGAAGGAUUAGCCCGCGUCUGAUUAGAUAGUUGGUGGGGUAACGGCCUACCAAGUCGACGAUCAGUAGCUGGUUUGAGAGGAUGAUCAGCAACACUGGGACUGAGACACGGCCCAGACUCCUACGGGAGGCAGCAGUGGGGAAUCUUAGACAAUGGGCGCAAGCCUGAUCUAGCCAUGCCGCGUGAGUGACGAAGGCCUUAGGGUCGUAAAGCUCUUUCGCCAGAGAUGAUAAUGACAGUAUCUGGUAAAGAAACCCCGGCUAACUCCGUGCCAGCANCCGCGGUAAUACGGAGGGGGUUAGCGUUGUUCGGAAUUACUGGGCGUAAAGCGCGCGUAGGCGGACUAUUAAGUCAGGGGUGAAAUCCCGGGGCUCAACCCCGGAACUGCCUUUGAUACUGGUAGUCUAGAGUUCGAGAGAGGUGAGUGGAAUUCCGAGUGUAG
RNAcentral lists this ribosomal RNA (612 nucleotides) under uncultured Loktanella sp. RNAcentral describes it as "bacterial SSU rRNA". It matches the Rfam family "Bacterial small subunit ribosomal RNA", at positions 21 to 678 of the family's 1533-position model. Lineage: Bacteria; Pseudomonadati; Pseudomonadota; Alphaproteobacteria; Rhodobacterales; Roseobacteraceae. The record is from RNAcentral.